CCCUUAGAUGUUCUGGGCCGCACGCGCGCUACACUGAUGCAUUCAACGAGCCUAUCCUUGACCGACAGGUCCGGGUAAUCUUUGAAUCUGCAUCGUGACGGGGAUAGAUUAUUGCAAUUAUUAAUCUUCAACGAGGAAUGCCUAGUAGGCGCAAGUCAUCAGCUUGCGUCGAUUACGUCCCUGCCCUUUGUACACACCGCCCGUCGCUCCUACCGAUUGGGUGUGCUGGUGAAAUGUUCGGAUCGGCCGUUUGUCGCGGUUUCCGCGGCUCGUGGCUGAGGAGUUCAUUAAACCCUCCCACCUAGAGGAAGGAGAAGUCGUAACA
RNAcentral lists this ribosomal RNA (325 nucleotides) under uncultured eukaryote. Its description in RNAcentral is "partial 18S ribosomal RNA". It matches the Rfam family "Eukaryotic small subunit ribosomal RNA", at positions 1470 to 1796 of the family's 1831-position model. The record is from RNAcentral.